AGUUUGAUCCUGGCUCAGGAUGAACGCUAGCUACAGGCUUAACACAUGCAAGUCGAGGGGCAGCAUUGGAGUAGCAAUACUUCAGAUGGCGACCGGCGCACGGGUGAGUAACACGUAUCCAACCUGCCGCUUACUCGGGGAUAGCCUUUCGAAAGAAAGAUUAAUACCCGAUGGUAUAAAGAGUUCGCAUGUUCUCUUUAUUAAAGAAUUUCGGUAAGCGAUGGGGAUGCGUUCCAUUAGAUAGUUGGCGGGGUAACGGCCCACCAAGUCUACGAUGGAUAGGGGUUCUGAGAGGAAGGUCCCCCACAUUGGAACUGAGACACGGUCCAAAUCCUACGGGAGGCAGCAGUGAGGAAUAUUGGUCAAUGGACGAGAGUCUGAACCAGCCAAGUAGCGUGAAGGAUGACUGCCCUAUGGGUUGUAAACUUCUUUUAUAAGGGAAUAAAGUGAGGGACGUGUCCCUUUUUGUAUGUACCUUAUGAAUAAGGAUCGGCUAACUCCGUGCCAGCAGCCGCGGUAAUACGGAGGAUCCGAGCGUUAUCCGGAUUUAUUGGGUUUAAAGGGAGCGUAGGUUGACGUAUAAGUCAGCUGUGAAAGUUUACGGCUCAACCGUGAAAUUGCAGUUGAUACUGUAUGUCUUGAGUGUACAAGAGGUGGGCGGAAUUCGUGGUGUAGCGGUGAAAUGCUUAGAUAUCACGAAGAACUCCAAUUGCGAAGGCAGCUCACUGGGGUACAACUGACACUGAGGCUCGAAAGUGUGGGUAUCAAACAGGAUUAGAUACCCUGGUAGUCCACACAGUAAACGAUGAAUACUCGCUGUUUGCGAUAUACAGUAAGCGGCCAAGCGAAAGCAUUAAGUAUUCCACCUGGGGAGUACGCCGGCAACGGUGAGACUCAAAGGAAUUAACGGGGGCCCGCACAAGCGGAGGAACAUGUGGUUUAAUUCGAUGAUACGCGAGGAACCUUACCCGGGCUUGAAUUGCAGAGGAAUAUAGUUGAAAGAUUAUCGCCGCAAGGUCUCUGUGAAGGUGCUGCAUGGUUGUCGUCAGCUCGUGCCGUGAGGUGUCGGCUUAAGUGCCAUAACGAGCGCAACCCUUAUCAUUAGUUACUAACAGGUCAUGCUGAGGACUCUAGUGAGACUGCCGUCGUAAGANGUGAGGAANGUGGA
Molecule: ribosomal RNA, 1168 nt
Filed under: uncultured Bacteroides sp.
Lineage: Bacteria; Pseudomonadati; Bacteroidota; Bacteroidia; Bacteroidales; Bacteroidaceae
Description: bacterial SSU rRNA
Rfam family: Bacterial small subunit ribosomal RNA
Source: RNAcentral